RNAcentral lists this unclassified non-coding RNA (387 nucleotides) under soil metagenome. RNAcentral describes it as "partial contains 5.8S ribosomal RNA, internal transcribed spacer 2, and large subunit ribosomal RNA". The stretch from base 1 to 122 matches the Rfam family "5.8S ribosomal RNA", at positions 35 to 154 of the family's 154-position model. The record is from RNAcentral.
GAUGAAGAACGCAGCGAAAUGCGAUAAGUAAUGUGAAUUGCAGAAUUCAGUGAAUCAUCGAAUCUUUGAACGCACCUUGCACCCUUUGGACUGCUCCAAAGGGUAUGCUCGUUUGAGUGUCAUUGUACUCUCACACUCUCAGAUCCUUUGGAUUUGGGGAGCAGUGGACUUGGGUGCUUGCUGCUUCCUUGUGGCUCACCUGAAAUGCAUCAGUGCAUCUCUCGAUUGGACAUAGUACGGCGUGAUAAGUGUCUUCGCCGGCACCUCAUAUGAGGGUGGCCGAUCGGGAGCUCUGUGCUUUCAAACCGUCUUCGGACAACGCUGACAACUUGACCUCAAAUCGAGUAGGACUACCCGCUGAACUUAAGCAUAUCAAUAAGCGGAGGA